RNAcentral lists this ribosomal RNA (413 nucleotides) under Thalassionema nitzschioides. RNAcentral describes it as "partial Bacterial large subunit ribosomal RNA". It matches the Rfam family "Bacterial large subunit ribosomal RNA", at positions 781 to 1140 of the family's 2925-position model. The record is from RNAcentral. Lineage: Eukaryota; Bacillariophyta; Fragilariophyceae; Thalassionematales; Thalassionemataceae.
GGUUAUCGUUGUAAAGAUAUCCGAUGAAUUGUGGUAAGUUAGUGAAAGACAAAACUGACUAGGAUAGCUGGUUUUCUGCGAAACCUAUAUAAGUAGGUAAUGUAAAUAACAUUAUAGCAGGUACAGAACUUUGAUCUCGGACAAAUUAUCUUGUUUUCUUAAGGAUAGCAAGAUGGUUUUGUAUACAUCGGGGAAUCGUGAAGAUUUUAUCGGCGAGAAUUUGCUCUCGGAAGGGCAAUGAUGGAUUUUGCAUAAUCGGACAUAGUACGAUAAGGUUUUAUGUCUAAAGGGAAACAGCCCAGAACAAGAGUUAAAGGUUCCAAAAUUAUUGUUAAGUGAAAAUAAGGAAGUUUUCUUCAAAUACAACCAGGAAAUAGGCUUAGAAGCGGCCAUUUUUCAAGACCUCGUAACAG